CCUACGGGGGGCAGCAGUAGGGAAUCUUUCACAAUGGGCGAAAGCCUGAUGGAGCAACGCCGCGUGCAGGAUGAAGGCCUUCGGGUUGUAAACUGCUUUUAUAAGCGAGAAAUAUGAUGGUAACUUAUGAAUAAGGAUCGGCUCACUACGUGCCAGCAGCCGCGGUCAUACGUAUGAUCCGAGCAUUAUCCGGAGUGACUGGGUGUAAAGAGUUUCGUAGGUGGACUAAUAAGUAGCUAGUGAAAUCUGGUGGCUCAACCAUUCAGACUAUUAGCUAAACUGUUAAGUUCGAGACCGUUAGGGGUAACUGGAAUUUAUAGUGUAGGAGUGAAAUCCGUAGAUAUUAGAAGGAACACCAAUAGCGUAGGCAGGUUGCUGGGACGGUUCGGACACUAAGGCACGAAAGCGUAGGGAGCAAACGGGAUUAGAUACCCCGGUAGUC
This 442-nucleotide ribosomal RNA is filed under the name uncultured bacterium. Its description in RNAcentral is "partial 16S ribosomal RNA". It matches the Rfam family "Bacterial small subunit ribosomal RNA", at positions 338 to 795 of the family's 1533-position model. The record is from RNAcentral.